This 485-nucleotide ribosomal RNA is filed under the name Diasemopsis silvatica. Its description in RNAcentral is "partial 16S ribosomal RNA". The stretch from base 251 to 409 matches the Rfam family "Bacterial large subunit ribosomal RNA", at positions 2473 to 2632 of the family's 2925-position model. Lineage: Eukaryota; Metazoa; Arthropoda; Insecta; Diptera; Diopsidae. The record is from RNAcentral.
GUUUCAUUUAAAUUUAAAUUAAAACUUUAUUUUUUAGUUAAAAAGCUAAAAUUUUAUUAAAAGACGAGAAGACCCUAUAAAUCUUUAUAUUUAUUUUUAUUUUAAUUUUUUUGGGUAAAUUUUAUUAUAAUAAGAUAAAAUAUUUUAUUGGGGUGAUAUUAAAAUUUAAUUAACUUUUAAUUAUUAUAAUUACAUUAAUUUAUGAAUUAUUGAUCCAUUAAUAAUGAUUAAAAAAUUAAGUUACUUUAGGGAUAACAGCGUAAUUUUUUUGGAGAGUUCUUAUCGAUAAAAAAGUUUGCGACCUCGAUGUUGGAUUAAGAGAUAGUUUUAAUGCAGAAGUUAAAAUAUAAAGUCUGUUCGACUUUUAAAUUCUUACAUGAUCUGAGUUCAAACCGGUGUAAGCCAGGUUGGUUUCUAUCUUUAAUUUUAUAUAAUAUUUUAGUACGAAAGGAAUUUAUAUUAAAAAUAAUUUUUAAUUUAUGAAU